RNAcentral lists this ribosomal RNA (459 nucleotides) under uncultured bacterium. RNAcentral describes it as "partial 16S ribosomal RNA". It matches the Rfam family "Bacterial small subunit ribosomal RNA", at positions 338 to 795 of the family's 1533-position model. The record is from RNAcentral.
CCUACGGGUGGCUGCAGUGAGGAAUAUUGGUCAAUGGCCGGAAGGCUGAACCAGUCAAGCCGCGUGAGGGAGGAAGGCGCAGAGCGUCGUAGACCUCUUUUGCCGGGGGACAAAAGGCCGGACGGGUACGGUUCUGAGGGUACCCGGAGAAAAAGCAUCGGCUAACUCCGUGCCAGCAGCCGCGGUAAUACGGAGGAUGCGAGCGUUAUCCGGAUUUAUGGGGUUAAAAGGGUGCGCAGGGGGGCCUUUAAGCCGGCGGGGAAAUCGCGGGGCUCAACCCCGCCGAGCAGUCGGAACUGGGGGCCUUGAGUGCUGCGGAGGCAUGCGGAAUGCGCGGUGUAGCGGUGAAAUGCAUAGAUAUCGCGCAGAACCCCGAUGGCGAAGGCAGCGUGCCGUGCCGCCACUGACGCUGAGGCACGAAAGCGCGGGGAUCGAACAGGAUUAGAUACCCGGGUAGUC